RNAcentral lists this ribosomal RNA (482 nucleotides) under uncultured Candidatus Portiera sp. RNAcentral's name for it is "bacterial SSU rRNA". It matches the Rfam family "Bacterial small subunit ribosomal RNA", at positions 30 to 505 of the family's 1533-position model. Lineage: Bacteria; Pseudomonadati; Pseudomonadota; Gammaproteobacteria; Johnevansiales (SeqCode); Johnevansiaceae (SeqCode). The record is from RNAcentral.
AUUGAACGCUGGCGGUAGGCUUAACACAUGCAAGUCGUGCGAGAAAGUAUCUUCGGAUAUGAGUAGAGCGGCGGACGGGUGAGUAACGCGUAGGAAUCUACCUAGUAGAAGGGGAUAGCCCGGGGAAACUCGGAUUAAUACCGUAUACCUCCUUCGGGAGAAAGAAGGCCUCUCAUUGAAGCUUUCGCUACUAGAUGAGCCUGCGUAAGAUUAGCUUGUUGGUGAGGUAAAGGCUCACCAAGGCGACGAUCUUUAGCGGGUCUGAGAGGACGAUCCGCCACAUUGGGACUGAGACACGGCCCAGACUCCUACGGGAGGCAGCAGUGGGGAAUAUUGGACAAUGGGCGCAAGCCUGAUCCAGCCAUACCGCGUGUGUGAAGAAGGCCCUAGGGUUGUAAAGCACUUUAAGUUGGGAAGAAAAGUUAUUGGUUAAUACCCAAUAGCCGUGACAUUACCAUCAGAAUAAGGACCGGCUAAUUCCG